RNAcentral lists this small RNA (122 nucleotides) under Vibrio nigripulchritudo. Lineage: Bacteria; Pseudomonadati; Pseudomonadota; Gammaproteobacteria; Vibrionales; Vibrionaceae. RNAcentral also lists the same sequence under 11 other names. The record is from RNAcentral.
UCACCGCACAACAGUAACCACCACCAUUAUUAUUACCGACAUUAUAACUGUUGGGGCGGGCUGUUAAGCGAAAGAAAUUUCAAGAAAAGGCCUGUAUCCCACAAGAUACAGGCCUUUUUUUA